RNAcentral lists this ribosomal RNA (2529 nucleotides) under Salmonella enterica subsp. enterica serovar Typhi. RNAcentral describes it as "bacterial LSU rRNA". The stretch from base 1140 to 2529 matches the Rfam family "Bacterial large subunit ribosomal RNA". Lineage: Bacteria; Pseudomonadati; Pseudomonadota; Gammaproteobacteria; Enterobacterales; Enterobacteriaceae. The record is from RNAcentral.
GAGAUCAAAGAAGUUCGCGCGGGCGACAUCGCGGCUGCUAUCGGCCUGAAAGACGUGACUACCGGUGACACCCUGUGUGAUCCGGAAAACCCGAUCAUUCUGGAACGUAUGGAAUUCCCUGAGCCGGUAAUCUCCAUCGCGGUAGAACCGAAAACCAAAGCUGACCAGGAAAAAAUGGGUCUGGCUCUGGGCCGUCUGGCGAAAGAAGACCCGUCGUUCCGCGUAUGGACUGAUGAAGAAUCUAACCAGACCAUCAUCGCUGGUAUGGGUGAACUUCACCUAGAUAUCAUCGUUGACCGUAUGAAGCGUGAAUUCAACGUUGAAGCGAACGUGGGUAAACCUCAGGUUGCUUACCGCGAAGCGAUUCGCGCGAAAGUUACCGACAUCGAAGGUAAACACGCGAAACAGUCUGGUGGUCGCGGUCAGUAUGGUCAUGUUGUUAUCGACAUGUACCCGCUGGAGCCGGGCUCUAACCCGAAAGGUUACGAGUUCAUCAACGACAUCAAAGGUGGUGUAAUUCCUGGCGAGUACAUCCCGGCCGUUGAUAAAGGCAUCCAGGAGCAGCUGAAAUCUGGCCCGCUGGCGGGUUAUCCGGUAGUUGAUCUCGGUGUGCGUCUGCACUUCGGUUCUUACCAUGACGUUGACUCCUCUGAGCUGGCGUUUAAACUGGCUGCGUCUAUCGCCUUUAAAGAAGGCUUUAAGAAAGCAAAACCAGUUCUGCUUGAGCCGAUCAUGAAGGUUGAAGUAGAAACACCUGAAGAGAAUACCGGUGACGUUAUCGGCGACCUUAGCCGCCGUCGUGGUAUGCUCAAAGGUCAGGAAUCUGAAGUUACAGGCGUUAAGAUCCACGCUGAAGUACCGCUGUCUGAAAUGUUCGGAUAUGCAACUCAGCUGCGUUCUCUGACCAAAGGUCGCGCAUCGUACACUAUGGAAUUCCUGAAGUAUGAUGAUGCGCCGAACAACGUUGCUCAGGCCGUAAUCGAAGCCCGUGGUAAAUAAGCCGCAGGGUUAAAAACCAAAAUCCCGUGCUCUCUCCUGAAGGGGAGAGCGCUAUAGUAAGGAAUAUAGCCGUGUCUAAAGAAAAAUUUGAACGUACAAAACCGCACGUUAACGUCGGCACCAUCGGCCACGUUGACCACGGUAAAACUACCCUGACCGCUGCAAUCACCACCGUACUGGCUAAAACCUACGGCGGUGCUGCUCGUGCAUUCGACCAGAUCGAUAACGCUCCGGAAGAAAAAGCGCGUGGUAUCACCAUCAACACUUCUCACGUNAGAGAACUCGGGUGAAGGAACUAGGCAAAAUGGUGCCGUAACUUCGGGAGAAGGCACGCUGACACGUAGGUGAAGUGAUUUACUCACGGAGCUGAAGUCAGCCGAAGAUACCAGCUGGCUGCAACUGUUUAUUAAAAACACAGCACUGUGCAAACACGAAAGUGGACGUAUACGGUGUGACGCCUGCCCGGUGCCGGAAGGUUAAUUGAUGGGGUCAGCGCAAGCGAAGCUCCUGAUCGAAGCCCCGGUAAACGGCGGCCGUAACUAUAACGGUCCUAAGGUAGCGAAAUUCCUUGUCGGGUAAGUUCCGACCUGCACGAAUGGCGUAAUGAUGGCCAGGCUGUCUCCACCCGAGACUCAGUGAAAUUGAACUCGCUGUGAAGAUGCAGUGUACCCGCGGCAAGACGGAAAGACCCCGUGAACCUUUACUAUAGCUUGACACUGAACAUUGAGCCUUGAUGUGUAGGAUAGGUGGGAGGCUUUGAAGUGUGGACGCCAGUCUGCAUGGAGCCGACCUUGAAAUACCACCCUUUAAUGUUUGAUGUUCUAACGUGGACCCGUGAUCCGGGUUGCGGACAGUGUCUGGUGGGUAGUUUGACUGGGGCGGUCUCCUCCUAAAGAGUAACGGAGGAGCACGAAGGUUGGCUAAUCCUGGUCGGACAUCAGGAGGUUAGUGCAAUGGCAUAAGCCAGCUUGACUGCGAGCGUGACGGCGCGAGCAGGUGCGAAAGCAGGUCAUAGUGAUCCGGUGGUUCUGAAUGGAAGGGCCAUCGCUCAACGGAUAAAAGGUACUCCGGGGAUAACAGGCUGAUACCGCCCAAGAGUUCAUAUCGACGGCGGUGUUUGGCACCUCGAUGUCGGCUCAUCACAUCCUGGGGCUGAAGUAGGUCCCAAGGGUAUGGCUGUUCGCCAUUUAAAGUGGUACGCGAGCUGGGUUUAGAACGUCGUGAGACAGUUCGGUCCCUAUCUGCCGUGGGCGCUGGAGAACUGAGGGGGGCUGCUCCUAGUACGAGAGGACCGGAGUGGACGCAUCACUGGUGUUCGGGUUGUCAUGCCAAUGGCACUGCCCGGUAGCUAAAUGCGGAAGAGAUAAGUGCUGAAAGCAUCUAAGCACGAAACUUGCCCCGAGAUGAGUUCUCCCUGAGACUUUAGGUCUCCUGAAGGAACGUUGAAGACGACGACGUUGAUAGGCCGGGUGUGUAAGCGCAGCGAUGCGUUGAGCUAACCGGUACUAAUGAACCGUGAGGCUUAACCUU